This 1321-nucleotide unclassified non-coding RNA is filed under the name Hevea brasiliensis (rubber tree). The record is from RNAcentral. Lineage: Eukaryota; Viridiplantae; Streptophyta; Magnoliopsida; Malpighiales; Euphorbiaceae.
AAAAAAAAAAAAAAAAGUAGAAAUCUAAGACCCAGCAAAUUGCAAGAACAGUUUUCAACACAAUAACCUCAAUCUUCAACACAUCAACCCGAAUUGUUAGUAGCUAAAAUGGCAGACCCCAAAUCAAGAGGCCGAGAACUUGAGAGUUGACAAUAGAGGAGAGUGGCAAUGAGAGGUGAUAUCGGAUUUGGCUUGAGUGACAGGAGGUUGUUGAGGCCUGAGUGGGAUGGAUAUGAGUAAACCAAGUGACUUGAGAGAGAGGGCUGUGUAGGUGAAGCCAUGAGCUGCAAUCAAUGCAGAGUCAAGGCCAGGUGCAGGCAUGAGGACCAAGAAUGUGACUUGUGAGGCAUAAGCAGAGAUGAGAGACCAAAGCCAUGGAUAGCAACAAAGAUUGAGACUUGAGAGUAGAACACCAUGAGAGAGAGAGGGAGAGAGGAGGCGAGAAAUAGGGGGCUAGGGGUUAGGUUUGACAGUGAGGUGAGGAGGAGGCUGUGACAAUGAGAAGCGAGAAAAGAUAUGAGAAAGAGGGUAGGGAUUUUAGGUAUGAAAGAUGGUUUUCCUGCUCUUUUGGUUUUGGAAUGGGUAAACCUCUAAAAUUGUAGUCUUCUAAGGUCUGAACAACAGUCACAUAAUAUGCACUUGUAACUUUGGUCAGUUUGGUUAUUAUGUGUUUUUUCAUCUCAAUAACUGAACCAAACUAACCAAAGUUUCUAAAAAUACUAACCAAAAUGAACAAUUUAAACUGAAAAACCUAACUAAAACAGUUUGGUUCUUUUUUUUAAUAUAUAUUUUUUUUUAUUAUAACCAAACACUGCUCAUCCCAGUUUGUCUGAUCUCUGAAGAUUGUACCAGAAAAAUAAGUAUUAAAAUUGUAUAAUUUGACUUUCAACUCUUCCCAACUAUUAAAAUUGCCAAUGAAUUUGUUAUGGUCCCAAUUUCCUACAUCAGUUUUGUGGGGAACCUGAAAAGACGCAUUGUAAGAAACAAAAGUGUGGACCCCCAUGCAGAGUAUUAGGGGCAAGUUUUUCUGAAGCAUUUUGUUGGUAUCAAAGCUGACUCCAUGCCUGCAGCUCUGUAGCAUAUACUGAAAGAAUUGUUUGUAGCACUGGAUUAAAAUUGCUGGUAGACACAAGAGAAGGUGAUGUAGUAACAGGGCCAGUAUGGGAGGGAGCCAUUUAGAAAAUCAGUUGUGAAAGCAUGUUGGAUUUUUAUGGUCUCAGUAUCCCACAUCAGUUACAUGGGGAAUUUAUUGUGGGUAUAUAAUAAUUUGUAUUUUGUUAGCUUUUCGUUUUAGGAGAGAAGCAUUACAUAUUUCUGAGGA